GCCAGCAGCCGCGGUAAUACGUAGGUGGCAAGCGUUAUCCGGAUUUAUUGGGCGUAAAGCGAGCGCAGGCGGUCUUUUAAGUCUAAUGUGAAAGCCUUCGGCUCAACCGAAGAAGUGCAUUGGAAACUGGGAGACUUGAGUGCAGAAGAGGACAGUGGAACUCCAUGUGUAGCGGUGAAAUGCGUAGAUAUAUGGAAGAACACCAGUGGCGAAGGCGGCUGUCUGGUCUGUAACUGACGCUGAGGCUCGAAAGCAUGGGUAGCGAACAGGAUUAGAUACCCUGGUAGUCCAUGCCGUAAACGAUGAUUACUAAGUGUUGGAGGGUUUCCGCCCUUCAGUGCUGCAGCUAACGCAUUAAGUAAUCCGCCUGGGGAGUACGACCGCAAGGUUGAAACUCAAAAGAAUUGACGGGGGCCCGCACAAGCGGUGGAGCAUGUGGUUUAAUUCGAAGCUACGCGAAGAACCUUACCAGGUCUUGACAUCUUCUGCCAACCUAAGAGAUUAGGCGUUCCCUUCGGGGACAGAAUGACAGGUGGUGCAUGGUUGUCGUCAGCUCGUGUCGUGAGAUGUUGGGUUAAGUCCCGCAACGAGCGCAACCCUUAUUACUAGUUGCCAGCAUUCAGUUGGGCACUCUAGUGAGACUGCCGGUGACAAACCGGAGGAAGGUGGGGACGACGUCAAAUCAUCAUGCCCCUUAUGACCUGGGCUACACACGUGCUACAAUGGAUGGUACAACGAGUCGCGAAACCGCGAGGUUUAGCUAAUCUCUUAAAACCAUUCUCAGUUCGGACUGUAGGCUGCAACUCGCCUACACGAAGUCGGAAUCGCUAGUAAUCGCGGAUCAGCAUGCCGCGGUGAAUACGUUCCCGGGCCUUGUACACACCGCCCGUCACACCAUGAGAGUUUGUAACACCCAAAGCCGGUGGGGU
This 929-nucleotide ribosomal RNA is filed under the name Pediococcus acidilactici. RNAcentral's name for it is "bacterial SSU rRNA". It matches the Rfam family "Bacterial small subunit ribosomal RNA", at positions 507 to 1436 of the family's 1533-position model. The record is from RNAcentral. Lineage: Bacteria; Bacillati; Bacillota; Bacilli; Lactobacillales; Lactobacillaceae.